GCAGUGGGCCAGAUUGGAGGAGAGGGGGCUGAAAUAGCAGUGGGCCAGGUUGGAGGAGAGGUUACUGAAAUAGCAGUGGGCCAGAUUGGAGGAGAGGUUACUGAAAUAGCAGUGGGCCAGAUUGGAGGAGAGGGUGCUUAAAUGGCAGUGGGCCAGAUUGGAGGAGAGGGAGCUGAAAUGGCAGUGGGCCAGAUUGGAGGAGAGGUUACUGAAAUAGCAGUGGGCCAGAUUGGAGGCGAGGAUGCUGAAAUAGCAGUGGGCCAGAUUGGAGGAGAGGGUGCUGAAAUAGCAGUGGGCCAGAUUGGAGGAGAGGGAGCUGAAAUAGCAGUGGGCCAGAUUGGAGGAGAGGGAGCUGAAAUGGCAGUGGGCCAGAUUGGAGGAAAGGGUGCUGAAAUAGCAGUGGGCCAGAUUGGAGGAGAGGGAGCUGAAAUGGCAGUGGGCCAGAUUGGAGGAGAGGGAGCUGAAAUGGCAGUGGGCCAGAUUGGAGGAGAGGGGGCUGAAAUAGCAGUGGGCCAGAUUGGAGGAGAGGGAGCUGAAAUGGCAGUGGGCCAGAUUGGAGGAGAGGGAGCUGAAAUAGCAGUGGGCCAGAUUGGAGGAGAGGGAGCUGAAAUAGCAGUGGGCCAGAUUGGAGGAGAGGGUGCUGAAAUAGCUGUGGGCCAGAUUGGAAGCCAUUCUGCAGCUGUAUACAGUAGGCAUUCUGGAAGCAGCGGCCCAGACUUCGUCAAUAUAGCUUAAUUUAACCAGGUUUGCCUGAUAAGAUCUUGAUAGGAAGCAUUCCCUCCCAGCCACUCAGGUCCAUCACUGUGUGGUGGAAAAGACCUUGAG
This 825-nucleotide long non-coding RNA is filed under the name Salmo salar (Atlantic salmon). Its description in RNAcentral is "lncRNA (ENSSSAG00000096551.1)". Lineage: Eukaryota; Metazoa; Chordata; Actinopteri; Salmoniformes; Salmonidae. The record is from RNAcentral.